This 208-nucleotide small RNA is filed under the name Gynuella sunshinyii. Its description in RNAcentral is "Manganese sequence". It matches the Rfam family "Manganese Mn2+ riboswitch aptamer (yybP-ykoY)". Rfam says of the family: This RNA was originally discovered in E. coli during a large scale screen and was named SraF. The family was later found to exist upstream of related families of protein genes in many bacteria, including the the yybP and ykoK genes in B. subtilis. The record is from RNAcentral. RNAcentral also lists the same sequence under 1 other name. Lineage: Bacteria; Pseudomonadati; Pseudomonadota; Gammaproteobacteria; Oceanospirillales; Saccharospirillaceae.
CGCGGCGUCAUUGGGGAGUAGCCGCUCUUUUCCCAAAGAGGCUUGUGUCAACAUAAUUGAUCCACAGAUCAUGGCAUAAGCAGUCCUUCAUACUGGUAGCAACUAACGGCUUGUUACCUGUCUGACGACCUGGCAAGACCUUUGACCACAACGCCUCCGAAUGGCCGGGGAUGCGUAGUGGUCAUUCGUCUUUAAACCGGCCAGGAUU